UACGUAGGGGGCAAGCGUUGUCCGGAAUUAUUGGGCGUAAAGCGCGUGUAGGCGGCCAGAUAAGUCCGCUGUGAAAUCUCGAGGCUCAACUUCGAGCUGUCGGUGGAAACUGUCUGGCUAGAGUCCGGAAGAGGAGAAUGGAAUUCCGAGUGUAGAGGUGAAAUUCGUAGAUAUUCGGAGGAACACCAGUGGCGAAGGCGGCUCACUGGUCCGGUACUGACGCUGAGGUGCGAAAGCGUGGGGAGCAAACAGG
Molecule: ribosomal RNA, 253 nt
Filed under: uncultured bacterium
Lineage: Bacteria
Description: partial 16S ribosomal RNA
Rfam family: Bacterial small subunit ribosomal RNA
Source: RNAcentral